AUUGAACGCUGGCGGAAUGCUUUACACAUGCAAGUCGAACGGCAGCACGGGUGCUUGCACCUGGUGGCGAGUGGCGAACGGGUGAGUAAUACAUCGGAACGUACCCAGUCGUGGGGGAUAACGCAGCGAAAGUUACGCUACUACCGCAUACGUCCUGAGGGAGAAAGCGGGGGACCGUGAGGCCUCGCGCGAUUGGAGCGGACGGGGGCGGGUUAGCUAGUGGGUGGGGUAAGGGCCUACCAAGGCGACGAUCCGUAGCGGGUCUGAGAGGACGGCCCGCCACACUGAAACGGAGACACUGUCCAGACUCCUACGGGAGGCAGCAGUGGGGAAUUUUGGACAAUGGGCGAAAGCCUGAUCCAGCCAUUCCGCGUGAGUGAAGAAGGCCUUCGGGUUGUAAAGCUCUUUCGGCAGGGAAGAAACGGCUUGGGAUAAUACCCCGGGCUAAUGACGGUACCUGAAGAAGAAGCACCGGCUAACUACGUGCCAGCCGCCGCCGUAA
RNAcentral lists this ribosomal RNA (502 nucleotides) under uncultured bacterium. RNAcentral's name for it is "partial 16S ribosomal RNA". It matches the Rfam family "Bacterial small subunit ribosomal RNA", at positions 29 to 523 of the family's 1533-position model. The record is from RNAcentral.